UAAUACGUAGGGGGCCAGCGUUGCUCGGAAUUACUGGGCGUAAAGGGUUCGUAGGUGGUGCGGCAAGUUGGGAGUGAAAUCUCUGGGCUUAACCCAGAGGCUGCUUUCAAAACUGCCGCGCUCGAGUGCGAGAGAGGUCAGUGGAAUUGCAGGUGUAGCGGUGAAAUGCGUAGAUAUCUGCAGGAACACCCGUGGCGAAGGCGGCUGACUGGAUCGCAACUGACACUGAGGAACGAAAGCUAGGGGAGCAAACAGGAUUAGAUACCCUGGUAGUCCUAGCCCUAAACCAUCAGAACUUGGGGUGGCCCGCGUAGGCGGGUCGUCCCGUAGCUAACGCGUUAAGUUCUGCGCCUGGGGAGUACGGUCGCAAGACUG
Molecule: ribosomal RNA, 375 nt
Filed under: uncultured bacterium
Lineage: Bacteria
Description: bacterial SSU rRNA
Rfam family: Bacterial small subunit ribosomal RNA
Source: RNAcentral